This 406-nucleotide long non-coding RNA is filed under the name Pan troglodytes (chimpanzee). Its description in RNAcentral is "long non-coding RNA NONPTRT003919". The record is from RNAcentral. Lineage: Eukaryota; Metazoa; Chordata; Mammalia; Primates; Hominidae.
GGAUCAGUAGCCUGAGCCAUCCUACCCUUCCUGUGCAGAGAUCCUGGUGUAGGGUGGCCCUCUGUGCUACACAACUAGGCAGACCUUAAGGCAUUCAGAGCACCUGCUUGCCUCAUUCAGCAGUCUGAGUCAUCCCACCCUUCCUGUGCAGAGAUCCUUGUGUGUGGGGCCCUCUCUGCCACACACCCAGGCAGAUCUCUAGGCAUCUGGAGUACUCACUCUCUUGGAUUAGAAGUUUAGGCCAUCUCCAAACCCCUUGCAGUGAAUCUGGAGCCAAGUUUUCCCAACAUCAUGCCUAGGCACACCUCUGGGCACUUAGUGGGCUGCCCACUGGAUUCUCCCUCAGUGCUGGUGCUGGUGCCUGCUAUUGGGAGAAAAGAAGGUGCACCUGCCAAGCCUGCCCCUG